ACAGAAGUAGACGACUGGCUUCC
Molecule: small nuclear RNA, 23 nt
Filed under: Arabidopsis thaliana (thale cress)
Lineage: Eukaryota; Viridiplantae; Streptophyta; Magnoliopsida; Brassicales; Brassicaceae
Description: snRNA_05475
Source: RNAcentral